ACCCCAGCCAGCAUGGCCGGCAGGAGCGCACCGCGCUGUCUCCCUCCAGGGAUCCGCACCGCCCUACAAUCCUGCUUUGUGCUGAGAUUGUAGUCCUGCAGGCGUACAACUAACAAGCUGGGUGCAGAUAAGAGACUACAGCUCCCCGCAUCCCAAGCAAAGGUCCCUCCUCUACGGAGCCCCUCCACGCGUCCACUGCGGUUCCGCCGUGCCAAGGGGAGCUUGGCUGUUCACGGGCCUCACCUGCUAGCGAGAAGAUAGCUUGGCCGGGCGGCUGAUCUCACCUUGUAAUUCUGACACUGUGUCUCCCGGGCUUGUCGGCUUCAUGACUUGUGCCCAAAGUUUGAUUUCUCGCAGACCAGGAGGACCCAUUGGACCCCCGGGCUGGCUGCAGGGCCCACACCUGGGUUAGACCUCGCACAGGGACGCUGCUGCCACUGUAAUAAAGCGUGCCUACACGCUUCUGAAACUGGUGUAGGAACAACCUCAGUUCUGUGAAAGGCGGACGCAGCAGGACAGAAUCUCCGUGGACAUCUGUCUGGAGGAGCAAUUUUACUGCGACAUUUUAAAGAAACAAAUUUAAUUGAUUUCCAAGGGUGUCCAUCGCGCUUCCUUCACUGCCUUGAUCAUGUCGGGGUCACCACCUGCGGGGGUUUGUCCUGCAGACCCUGACUCAACGACGGAUGAAUAAUGUACACUGACACAGAUCUUAUGCUUGUCAGUCCUGCUGAGCAUCCAGGCCACUUACAGACUCCAAGAAGAGUCCUGUCAGCCACGGCUCUGACUUGUUGGCCCUCCCGGCAUUUAUUUAGCACACAUUUAAUGACAGAAGUCUCAGGUAAACACCACUAGAAGGCUGGAAACACUCUUUUUGUAGAACAUACAAAUGGACAUUUCUAAGCACAUUGAGGCCUAUAAUGAAAAAUCAAAUAUCCCACAAUGAAAACUAGAAGGAAGCUAUCUGUGAUAAUGCUUUGUGGUGUAUGGAUUCAUCUCACUGACUGAAACCUGAGUUUUGAUUCACCAGGCUGGAAACACUGUUUUCGUAGAACCUACAAAAAGACAUUGGGGAGCCCACUGAGUCUUACAGUGAUAAACCAAGGAUCCUGUGAUAAAACUAGAAACAAGCUAUCUGUGAAAAUGCUUUGCAGUUGGUGAAUUUCUUUCAUAGUUAAACCUUUUUUUAUUCAAUACGUUGGAAACACCAUUUUUUAGUGUCUCUAAAGGGACUUUUUCAGCCCUUUGAAACCUAUAGUGAAAAACCAAAUAUCUUGCAAUAAAAACAAAUAAACAAAAAAGAA
RNAcentral lists this long non-coding RNA (1301 nucleotides) under Homo sapiens (human). Its description in RNAcentral is "long intergenic non-protein coding RNA 662". Lineage: Eukaryota; Metazoa; Chordata; Mammalia; Primates; Hominidae. The record is from RNAcentral.